UACGAAGGGGGCUAGCGUUGCUCGGAAUCACUGGGCGUAAAGGGUGCGUAGGCGGGUCUUUAAGUCAGAGGUGAAAUCCUGGAGCUCAACUCCAGAACUGCCUUUGAUACUGAGGAUCUUGAGUAUGGGAGAGGUGAGUGGAACUGCGAGUGUAGAGGUGAAAUUCGUAGAUAUUCGCAAGAACACCAGUGGCGAAGGCGGCUCACUGGCCCAUUACUGACGCUGAGGCACGAAAGCGUGGGGAGCAAACGGG
This 253-nucleotide ribosomal RNA is filed under the name uncultured bacterium. RNAcentral's name for it is "partial 16S ribosomal RNA". It matches the Rfam family "Bacterial small subunit ribosomal RNA", at positions 524 to 776 of the family's 1533-position model. The record is from RNAcentral.